RNAcentral lists this non-coding RNA (29 nucleotides) under Homo sapiens (human). The record is from RNAcentral. Lineage: Eukaryota; Metazoa; Chordata; Mammalia; Primates; Hominidae.
UGGUGGCCUUCAACUGUGAGUGACGGUGA